This 1766-nucleotide long non-coding RNA is filed under the name Ananas comosus (pineapple). RNAcentral's name for it is "long non-coding RNA (ACOM_LNC029115)". Lineage: Eukaryota; Viridiplantae; Streptophyta; Magnoliopsida; Poales; Bromeliaceae. The record is from RNAcentral.
UUAGUUUAAAAGGUAGCGGAAAAGCGUCUGAAAAUUUUUUUUUUUUGAAAAUCUGACCCCAGAGUGUGCCAGAUCCGCCACAAAUACAGGAGUUCCACUGUUCACACGGACAGAGUCUCCCCUGUAUUUGCACGGCGUCGCACAAGUACAACAGAGUAUAGAUACACACACAAUCACAACCAUAACCAGAUGAACAACAAGAUAGAUAACAUUCAUCCAUUCCAUUUACACACACAGAUAUGAUACUUGAAUUAUGAAUAACAUUCCACAUCUAUCAGUUAAAAUGUUUCCUACCUGGAAACCGAUCUUGAAAUACUAAAUCCAUAAAACCACAGGGAAAUCAAUUUGAAAACUAAUCCCCACACGGGAACCAUUCUUUUUCAAACCAGCUACCACGGGGGGGUAGAAAACUGUUUUAUUUCAAGAAAACUCAAAUCCUUUAGUACAUUUCGAAACCAAUUGAAAACCCAGAUUGUUAGAUAAUAAAAUAGAACUAAACCAUAAUAUGUCUAAGUAUUUAUUCAAGCAUGAAGGGUAAAAGGAAUAACCGACUCGGGAAGGAGCUCUAUCGCACGCUAGACACGCUCCUCACCAGCUGUCCCACUCGGUCCUGCUACGUCACCUGUAAUGGGGGCGGGGGGUGAGAACAUGUAAACAUGUCUCCCCUCCCAGUGGGUACCGCAAGCCGAAGAAGGCGAGGGGUACUCACUAGUCACGGAGAUAAACAAAUAUAUGGAUAAUGGUAGUACAGUAGCUAAAAUAAACAAGUACUGAAAUGAAUAUAAAUGAACAACUACAGCUACUGUAUGUAUGCAUCAACGGGACAAUCAGUCCAAAAGUACCCAAUCUGAACCACUGCUCUCUUGGUCAGCACCGCAGACCUCAAGCCAAUGCCACUACUACUCUCCAGUGCAUAUAACCCCUCUAGGGCUCACGGGUUGUCACCAUUCAACCACUUUUCCGGAAAAGAACACUCCUUGCGGUGGAUCAGACCGCCAGUGUUCGUGAAAUGCGACGAGUAUCGGGCGAUCAAUGCAAUAUGCUCAAUGAUCAACCGUCGGCAACCAGCCGACAAUCCUGCCCCCCAGGGCCCAUCGACCGCAUGGGUCAUCACGUAACCAAAUCGACCAACCAGGUCACAAGUAUGAAGUAUGAAACUCGACCAACCAGGUCAUAGAUACAACAAAGGAGAAUCAACCAACCAGAUCACAGAUAUCAUAUGCUGAAGAAAUCUACUCUACUCCUACACAAGAUACCGAGCAUGGAAACAACCGAGUAGAGUAAUACGAGGAUAAUAUGAUAGGCAAUGUAUAUGAUAAGCAAUGUAAAUAGGAAGGGUGGAAGGAACGUCACCGAGCGUGCACCACUGUAUCGACGUCGGGUCGAAGUACCCACCUGUACGUAUCCGACGAAAGUCUCUCGACUGUGAAGACGGUGCAACCGAACCUACGAAAGGUCCAACGGUUUAAGGUCUAACCCACUGACAUGAAAAGCUAACUCACAACCCCCGCUCAUAGCCCCACAAAAACAGUUUCCCAAAUUAGCUUACCGUACAAACCGGAAGUCCCGAAAACCGCACCGGAACUUCGCUGUCGCUCACCUGUCGUUUCCAAACCCACGAAACGAUGCAGGUGACCAGCCAACAAGGCUCAGCGACUAAACAAAUGAUCCCCAAGGACCAUCGGAAGAAUUCCGAAUCGAAAACGCGUUCUAUCGGCGGAUUUCGCCGAAAAACGCUCCGGAAAUCACUUUACGAUUUCCGCAAA